CCUACGGGGUGCAGCAGUGGGGAAUAUUGCACAAUGGGGGAAACCCUGAUGCAGCGACGCCGCGUGAGCGAUGAAGUAUUUCGGUAUGUAAAGCUCUAUCAGCAGGGAAGAAAAUGACGGUACCUGACUAAGAAGCCCCGGCUAACUACGUGCCAGCAGCCGCGGUAAUACGUAGGGGGCAAGCGUUAUCCGGAUUUACUGGGUGUAAAGGGAGCGUAGACGGCUGUGCAAGCCAGAUGUGAAAGCCCGGGGCUCAACCCCGGGACUGCAUUUGGAACUGUGUGGCUGGAGUGUCGGAGAGGCAGGCGGAAUGCCUGGUGUAGCGGUGAAAUGCGUAGAUAUUAGGAGGAACACCAGUGGCGAAGGCGGCAUGCUGGACGAUGACUGACGUUGAGGCUCGAAAGCGUGGGGAGCAAACAGGAUUAGAUACCCUUGUAGUC
Molecule: ribosomal RNA, 440 nt
Filed under: uncultured bacterium
Lineage: Bacteria
Description: partial 16S ribosomal RNA
Rfam family: Bacterial small subunit ribosomal RNA
Source: RNAcentral